GACGAACGCUGGCGGCGUGCCUAAUACAUGCAAGUCGAGCGAGCGGAACUAACAGAUUUACUUCGGUAAUGACGUUAGGAAAGCGAGCGGCGGAUGGGUGAGUAACACGUGGGGAACCUGCCCCAUAGUCUGGGAUACCACUUGGAAACAGGUGCUAAUACCGGAUAAGAAAGCAGAUCGCAUGAUCAGCUUUUAAAAGGCGGCGUAAGCUGUCGCUAUGGGAUGGCCCCGCGGUGCAUUAGCUAGUUGGUAAGGUAAAGGCUUACCAAGGCGAUGAUGCAUAGCCGAGUUGAGAGACUGAUCGGCCACAUUGGGACUGAGACACGGCCCAAACUCCUACGGGAGGCAGCAGUAGGGAAUCUUCCACAAUGGACGCAAGUCUGAUGGAGCAACGCCGCGUGAGUGAAGAAGGUUUUCGGAUCGUAAAGCUCUGUUGUUGGUGAAGAAGGAUAGAGGUAGUAACUGGCCUUUAUUUGACGGUAAUCAACCAGAAAGUCACGGCUAACUACGUGCCAGCAGCCGCGGUAAUGCGUAGGUGGCAAGCGUUGUCCGGAUUUAUUGGGCGUAAAGCGAGCGCAGGCGGAAGAAUAAGUCUGAUGUGAAAGCCCUCGGCUUAACCGAGGAACUGCAUCGGAAACUGUUUUUCUUGAGUGCAGAAGAGGAGAGUGGAACUCCAUGUGUAGCGGUGGAAUGCGUAGAUAUAUGGAAGAACACCAGUGGCGAAGGCGGCUCUCUGGUCUGCAACUGACGCUGGGGCUCGAAAGCAUGGGUAGCGAACAGGAUUAGAUACCCUGGUAGUCCAUGCCGUAAACGAUGAGUGCUAAGUGUUGGGAGGUUUCCGCCUCUCAGUGCUGCAGCUAACGCAUUAAGCACUCCGCCUGGGGAGUACGACCGCAAGGUUGAAACUCAAAGGAAUUGACGGGGGCCCGCACAAGCGGUGGAGCAUGUGGUUUAAUUCGAAGCAACGCGAAGAACCUUACCAGGUCUUGACAUCUAGUGCCAUUUGUAGAGAUACAAAGUUCCCUUCGGGGACGCUAAGACAGGUGGUGCAUGGCUGUCGUCAGCUCGUGUCGUGAGAUGUUGGGUUAAGUCCCGCAACGAGCGCAACCCUUGUUAUUAGUUGCCAGCAUUAAGUUGGGCACUCUAAUGAGACUGCCGGUGACAAACCGGAGGAAGGUGGGGAUGACGUCAAGUCAUCAUGCCCCUUAUGACCUGGGCUACACACGUGCUACAAUGGGCAGUACAACGAGAAGCGAGCCUGCGAAGGCGAGCGAAUCUCUGAAAGCUGUUCUCAGUUCGGACUGCAGUCUGCAACUCGACUGCACGAAGCUGGAAUCGCUAGUAAUCGCGGAUCAGCACGCCGCGGUGAAUACGUUCCCGGGCCU
This 1385-nucleotide ribosomal RNA is filed under the name uncultured bacterium. RNAcentral describes it as "bacterial SSU rRNA". It matches the Rfam family "Bacterial small subunit ribosomal RNA", at positions 28 to 1381 of the family's 1533-position model. The record is from RNAcentral.